This is a long non-coding RNA of Heterocephalus glaber (naked mole-rat), 1935 nucleotides long. The record is from Ensembl. NCBI's taxonomy places the organism in Eukaryota, Metazoa, Chordata, Mammalia, Rodentia, Bathyergidae.
CGGGGCUUCCGCUACGGGACUCAACGGACGUACCGAGGGAACGCCCACGACUGGUCCUGCUCCUCAGGCCGGACGCGCCUCGCUUCGGCUCGGCCAAGCCCAAGGUUCCCACUGGCCCGGACCUUUGGUCCUGCCUUGCAACGGCUUCUGGAGGAAAGAUGCCAAGUUCCGAGCACCCCUAUGGAGAAACUGCUUCCUAUGGUAGCUAAAUAAAUAAGCAGAGAUGGAGUCUCCACCUUCAUCCCACUCCCAGCUGACCUCUUGAUUGCAACUUCAUGAGAGGUCCUGAAUGAGAACCAUCCAGGCUUGAACAACAUUAUCAACCAACUGGAUUGGACAUUUGUAGAAAACUGUACUCAAAAAACAAAAAUAUGUGAAUAUAUUCUUUUCAAAAGCACAUAGGGUAGAUUAUAAGAGGAACCACAAAGCAAGACUCAACUUUGAAGGAUGAAAUCAUAUAAAAUAUGUUCUCUGAUCAUAUCUGAAUUAAAAUGGAGAUCCACAACAGAAACAAACGUCAGAAAACCCCCAAAUUAUAAAUUAAACAACAUAUUUCUAAGUAAUCUAUGAAUCAAGGAACAAAUGACAAGAGAAGCUAAAAAUAUUGUAAACAAAAUUAAAGCAAAAGUACAACAUAAGAAAAUAUGUGGGACAUAGCUACAGCAAUGCAUGGAGGGGGAGCUACAGCUGUAGAUGCCUAUGUUUGUGACAGAAGAAAGGUCUCAAAUCAAAAACCGAGUCUCCCACUUCAAGAAAAUUGAAAAAGAACAAAGAAAACUAAGUCCACCAACAUAUAAAGGAUCAAAGGCCAUGACAAACUGGAAUUUGUCCCAGGAAUGCAAGGUUGGUUUAACAUCCAAAAGUAAAUCAAUGUAUUAGUGAAAUACAGGACACACCUUUGUAUAUAGUUCUUUCAGUGGCACUUUCCAUGCUUAUGAAGACUCUAAAAAAGGUGAAAUUAGUGAAAGAAAGUUGAAUCCUUGGAGUAUGGACUGGACUUGGCCACUCAAUUCUGUUAAACGGAAUAAAGCAGAAAUCAUGAUGUGUGACUUUGGAGGUGAGGUUGUGAAAGGCACUGUGGCUUCUCUUCUUGCUGUCUUAGGCCACUUGCUUUGGGGAGAGCCAAUGACCCAUGAAGAAGCCCACAUGGAAAGCAACUGCAGCCUCCUGCCAGUAGCUUUGUAAGUGGGCUAUCUUGCAAGUAGAUCCUCCAGCCCUGGUUAAGCUUUCAGGUGAUGGAAAUAUAGUUGCAAAUGUCUGUAUUCCUAUGUUCCUUUCUAGUUGGACUGUUCCUGUCAUUUGAAGAUUGUGAAAAGAUGAGAUUAGUACAGACAAAGCCCUCAGUGGUGACCUCUAUAAUCCUUCACGCUUUGCAUGCACAUUAAGGGCAAGCAAAAUGCAGAUCAAGGAUGGAGCUGAAAGUAGGGAGUUCUGUGAAACUGUUGUGGGCAAGAUGAAACUUUCAGGGUGACCCAAAAGGAGGAACAUUGCCCAGGGUUGGGAACUGCUGGUCUUGUACUACAGAGCUUCCCUAUCCCUGGCCCAUGAGUGGGUAAUGGGCCACACAUUAUUGUCAUUGUCACACGUCAUGAUGCAGAGAAGUUGGGGUCAUGCUUCACUGUACUGGUCUUUCCUGCCCCACCUCACUAGAAUCUGCCCUGAGUGCUUGGAGCAGUCUACCAACAGACCCUUCCAAGGCCUUCUUCAUUUCUCUCACUGUUUCUCAUCUCUCGCUUAUCUUGGUGAUAUUACUAAGUUGCUGUAUCAACCUUCUCUAAGUCCAUUCUGGAGAUUCUCACUUUCAAAUUUGUUUUCAUUUUGCAGUGCCAGGGAUUGCAUCCAGGGCCUCAGCCAUGGCAGGCAAGUAAGUGGUCUGCCACUGAGCUACACUCCUAGCUAGUACUAGUAAUCCCACAUUCAUAAUUAUUUUGAUAU